GUAACGAGCGCAACCCUUGUCCUUAGUUACCAGCACGUUAUGGUGGGCACUCUAAGGAGACUGCCGGUGACAAACCGGAGGAAGGUGGGGAUGACGUCAAGUCAUCAUGGCCCUUACGGCCUGGGCUACACACGUGCUACAAUGGUCGGUACAAAGGGUUGCCAAGCCGCGAAGUGGAGCUAAUCCCAUAAAACCGAUCGUAGUCCGGAUCGCAGUCUGCAACUCGACUGCGUGAAGCUGGAUUCGCUAGUAAUCGCGCAUCAGCCACGGCGCGGUGAAUACGUUCCCGGGCCUU
RNAcentral lists this ribosomal RNA (295 nucleotides) under uncultured Pseudomonas sp. Its description in RNAcentral is "partial 16S ribosomal RNA". It matches the Rfam family "Bacterial small subunit ribosomal RNA", at positions 1089 to 1382 of the family's 1533-position model. The record is from RNAcentral. Lineage: Bacteria; Pseudomonadati; Pseudomonadota; Gammaproteobacteria; Pseudomonadales; Pseudomonadaceae.